This 240-nucleotide ribosomal RNA is filed under the name uncultured fungus. RNAcentral describes it as "partial contains 18S ribosomal RNA, internal transcribed spacer 1 and 5.8S ribosomal RNA". The record is from RNAcentral. Lineage: Eukaryota; Fungi.
CAUUGCAGUAGUUUUAGAGGGGUUCUAGAUGCUGGCCUUUUCAACGAGGCAUGUGCGCGCCCCUCGACUUCUAUUCCACAUACACCUGUGCACCUAUGGCGAGUGUCUCCCGUUCGUUCGGAGCAGUCUCGAUCCNUUCGUGGGUCGGGACCGAGGCGCUCCCCUUUUAUUUNACACAUCAAUGCCUGUUCAUACGCAUGUCUUUACUAGCUCUACGGAGUGAAACAUAAUACAACUUUC